Molecule: ribosomal RNA, 428 nt
Filed under: uncultured bacterium
Lineage: Bacteria
Description: partial 16S ribosomal RNA
Rfam family: Bacterial small subunit ribosomal RNA
Source: RNAcentral
GUGGGGAAUAUUGGGCAAUGGGCGGAAGCCUGACCCAGCGACGCCGCGUGGGGGAAGAAGUCUUUCGGGAUGUAAACCCUUGUUGUACGGGACGAAGGAAGUGACGGUACCUGCAGAAUAAGCACCGGCUAACUACGUGCCAGCAGCCGCGGUAAGACGUAGGGUGCAAGCGUUAAUCGAAAUUACUGGGCGUAAAGCGUGCGCAGGCGGUUUUGUAAGACAGGUGUGACAUCCCCGGGCUCAACCUGGGAACUGCACUUGUGACUGCAAGGCUAGAGUGUGGCAGAGGGAGGUGGAAUUCCGCGUGUAGCAGUGAAAUGCGUAGAGAUGCGGAGGAACGCCGAUGGCGAAGGCAGCCUCCUGGGAUAACACUGACGCUCAGGCACGAAAGCGUGGGGAGCAAACAGGAUUAGAUACCCGGGUAGUCC